GACGACGCUGGCGGCGUGCUUAACACAUGCAAGUCGAACGAUGAAGCCUCUUCGGGGGUGGAUUAGUGGCGAACGGGUGAGUAACACGUGAGUAACCUGCCCCCUUCUUUGGGAUAACUGUCGGAAACGGCGGCUAAUACCGAAUAUUCAUAUGCUGUCGCAUGGUGGUGUGUGGAAAGAUUUUUUGGUAGGGGAUGGGCUCGCGGCCUAUCAGCUUGUUGGUGAGGUAGUGGCUCACCAAGGCUUUGACGGGUAGCCGGCCUGAGAGGGCGACCGGCCACACUGGGACUGAGAUACGGCCCAGACUCCUACGGGAGGCAGCAGUGGGGAAUAUUGCACAAUGGGCGAAAGCCUGAUGCAGCGACGCCGUGUGCGGGAUGAAGGCCUUCGGGUUGUAAACCGCUUUCAACUGUGACGAAUUUGACGGUAGCAGUAGAAGAAGCACCGGCUAACUACGUG
This 459-nucleotide ribosomal RNA is filed under the name uncultured bacterium. Its description in RNAcentral is "bacterial SSU rRNA". It matches the Rfam family "Bacterial small subunit ribosomal RNA", at positions 33 to 507 of the family's 1533-position model. The record is from RNAcentral.